This 3432-nucleotide ribosomal RNA is filed under the name Triticum aestivum (bread wheat). RNAcentral's name for it is "partial small subunit ribosomal RNA". The record is from RNAcentral. Lineage: Eukaryota; Viridiplantae; Streptophyta; Magnoliopsida; Poales; Poaceae.
GUUAUUUGUGGUGUCGCCUGCACCACGAGCGCUUAAGCUUUCAGCGUCGGCACUCCUCUCCACAGGGCAACAAGAGAUAAAUACCCUAGGAUCGCCGGCGAGAGUCCAACGGCAGCACGAACCAGCGAUUGCGAGCACCACAUCGAGGCAGACAUCAGCAGGUGACUCGAGCGGCUCGCGCGGGAGAGAGAAAAGAAGGGAGAAGAGGGGGGCGCUGCCUGUGCCGCGAGGCGGCGAACGACGGGGGAGGCGCACGCUACAUCGUCGACACAGGGUCAGUUCUCCGUGCGUUAGCCUCCUAAAUUUCGUCACCGCUUAGGGCUCGUUUAGGGCUCGUUUUGUGUGCGGGGAAAGUCGGGGAUCCCCGCCUAAUCCCUGGGUAGCUGCCACCCGUGGAUAAUUAGGCCCGGGUAAAUUAGCUGUGGAUUUUUUUGGUUGAUCAAGGGGAGAGGGAAAUCCCACCACAUCCCUGCCAAAUCCCCGGGCUAAAAUAAUCUACAUUCAGUCGUGGAAGAACUCCCCCCCGUGCUCUCUGUCUCGCGCGAUCGAACUCCUCUGUUCUAAGGUCUGCCCUGGUGUUGAAGACUAUCUCGUUCUCUCAGUUUGCUCAGUUUGUUUAUUCUCUUUUGAUCAAUUUUUACACGGAAGCCCUGUCCCCGGAGCGCCAAAUGAUGUCGGAGAACCAAGCAUGCAUAGCCUUAGAGGCCAUUUUUCACUGAGAAUCUCAUGAGUAGGGAUGGAACGGGGGUGUGGGGGUGGGGGUGGAUAUCGUACAUGCAUCCCGCAAGAUUUGGGGGCAUCAGCGCGUACGAUCUAGCCACGUUUUUGCAUAAUGUUUUAGGCAGGGAGAGUUCUUGAGGAACGGCAACUACUUUUUUCUAGGAUGUAGGCAAUUCGUUUCGCAUAGAUGCAGAUUUUUCUUUUUCAGAAUGUAAGGCAACUUAGUUGUUCAUGCAUAUGCUGAAAACAUCAGCAUGUGUUUUAUCUGUUCGUGCAUGUAGGCGCAGAGGUUCUUUCAGGAUGUAAGACAUUUUCUGUUCAUAUAGAUGCAGAAAACCUGAGAAUGUAGGCAUGUUUCUCCGUUUGCUCACGUAGAUGCCGAAAUCUUUUCAGGGUGUAAGGCAGUUUUUGUUCAUGUAGAUCCAGGAAAUCACAGGGAUGUAUAGGCAUGUUUGAUCUGUCGUUCACGUAGUUGCACAGAAACUUCUCGAUGUAAGGAACUUUUUUGUUCAUGUAGAUGCAGAAAACCUCAACAUGUAGGCAUCUUUAUCUUGUUUGUUCACGUAGAUGCUGAGAAACUUACAAUACUUUUUGUUCAUGUAGAUGCGGAGAAAUUUUUAGGAUUACAGGUUUUUAGGCGUCCUUUUUUUUUCAAAAGAUAUGUUCAGUAAUGUCAUGGUUCAAGGCAAAUGAUAUGUUACCAGUUAGCACUUUUUUUGUCUCUACAUUUGCUCUGCUUAAUAUGAGUUUUUUUUCCUGAACCAUGGAAUUGCACCUUAUUGUUGUUUUACAUCUUUCCUGGUGUCUUUGAUUUUUACAUACUUGUCAAUUCGAUGUGUGUGAUCUUUUUGUCAAGGCCAUAAGCAGUAGUUGUUCUAACUAGUCUUUUUGUUGCCAACUAUAGCGACAAGCUAUGUCUAAUGUACUACUCCAUCUGUUCAUUUUUGUAAGUCAUUUCAGACAACUUAAAAUUGGUUGUUUUGUACGUUGUCUGAAAUGUCUUCAAGAUCUUAUAAAAAUGAACAGAGGAAGUAGUAAACAAGCUGCAAUGUCUACAGUAACAAAAUACAGACCCAUUUUUUCACAUGCUAUUUCCCCCUGCGUUUUGGUUUUCGGUUUGCAUUUUUUUUCGCCCCUGGACGAGAUGGACGAAAUUCGGCCAUUUCAAAAAAUUUGGUCAAAUCUCGGACGAAAUUACAGAACCAAAAUUUGAAUUUUAAACAAAAUUUGACCGAAAUCGGGACGAAAUUCAGCCGAAAAAAUUGAAAACAAGCAGAGCAAAAGUGUAGCAGUCGAACAACACUAACGAGUACGUAUAUACGUAAAUGUUUACCAAACUUUGCAUCAGUCCAACAUCGCCAUCAGCUCCAAAAUAAAAAAUUGAACAGGGAGAUGAGCUGCAGAGUUCAGGAGUUCCAGAUUCAGCUGCAGCCCGCAUCCAGCAGAGGUCAGUAGCAGGGGCCGGGCUGUCACGAAGGCGCGGACGGGGCAGGAGCGGCAGGCUCGAGCCGGGAGGCAGGCGGCGACGAGUGGAGGAGCCGAAUCUGGGCGCAGCGCCGCCGCCGCCGCACGCACAGGAGGGGCGGGUAUCGUGAUUUGUUUAGGGUUCAGGCUUCGUUCGAUAGGAAAAUUGUCAGGAGGCCCCAGAAAUUAGAUUGGGCCAAGACAAAGUUCAAACUGGGCCGAAAUUUUCGGCCGACACACACAAUUACCGGGCCCAGGCGAGAUGGACGAAAUUCGGCCGAAAAUUGAUUUUUUCGGCCGAAAAUCAAAACACAGAUUUCGCCUGCCCAUGCCAGAAGAGCAAGAGACUGAAGUUAGCCAAGGUACAGGCGUGGCAGAAAGGGUCGAGUAUGUGGGUGGGUGGUGGGGGGAGGGGGGGCAUCUUCAAAUCGAAGCAAAAUAGGCAGUAUUAUGUUUUUUUUUCAAAUAUGUACACGCUGUCUUUGUUUUCAUUCCUAGUUUUCUUACGAGCCCACACAAAUUAAUGAAAGCAAUAUGACCGACUGAUUAGGACAGCAGCCCGUCGAGGGAUGGAAAAGAGUCCCUUAUCUUGCCACCUUUUUCUCAAGUCCCCUCACGCAAUUCCUCAUAGCAUGGGUGGUGGAACUACAGUCAAGCUCACACCAUCUUUUUCUUACUUGAUUGAAUUCUAGCACAUUAUACAGUCGCCUUCACCGCCCAAACUACCAAUGCAAAGCACAAUAAGUCGUGCAUGCUAAUCUCGAAACAAGCUUUCGCCACGCUUCAUAUAUAAAGCAACAACACAACAGAGUACACGACUACUCUAACGAUAUAAUAUGGUAGGGAGACCCACUUACAAAGCAGAUCGAAAGAAAAACAUGAAACUAGAACAAGCCUAACACCAAGCACCACAACAAGGACCCUAAGAGGGUGACGGCACGAAGCGUCACCACUGCCGAGUCCAAACAAACUGACUAGAGUUUUCAACCGGAGCCCUAGCACAAGGACGAGGUCCACGACGAUGUCUUUAAGAAGCAAGCAACACCCACGGGCGCCGCCGUUGCCGGUGCUAGAAACAGAAAGCCUUUGCUCGGACACUCGCCACCACCACAGGAGGGGUCUUCGUCACCACUACGACGAGGAUCGGCUCAUCCACCCCACAUCUGGGCACUGCUAGAGCAGACCAGGUCCUCCCGCCACUACACCCCUUACCGCCCACAGGGCCAAGAUGUGCAGCCACCAUGGGCC